RNAcentral lists this ribosomal RNA (590 nucleotides) under uncultured bacterium. RNAcentral's name for it is "bacterial SSU rRNA". It matches the Rfam family "Bacterial small subunit ribosomal RNA", at positions 117 to 704 of the family's 1533-position model. The record is from RNAcentral.
GUAUAGAACCUACCUUUUACAGGGGAAUAGCCCAGAGAAAUUUGGAUUAAUGCCCCAUGGUAUUAUUGAAUGGCAUCAUUUAAUAAUUAAACAUUUAUGGGUAAAAGAUGGCUAUGCGUUCUAUUAGCUAGAUGGUAAGGUAACGGCUUACCAUGGCAACGAUAGAUAGGGGUCCUGAGAGGGAGACCCCCCACACUGGUACUGAGACACGGACCAGACUCCUACGGGAGGCAGCAGUGAGGAAUAUUGGACAAUGGAGGCAACUCUGAUCCAGCCAUGCCGCGUGCAGGAAGACGGCCCUAUGGGUUGUAAACUGCUUUUAUAUAGGAAGAAACCUUUCCACGUGUGGAAAGCUGACGGUACUAUAAGAAUAAGCACCGGCUAACUCCGUGCCAGCAGCCGCGGUAAUACGGAGGGUGCAAGCGUUAUCCGGAAUCAUUGGGUUUAAAGGGUCCGUAGGCGGACUAAUAAGUCAGGGGUGAAAUCCAACAGCUUAACUGUUGAACUGCCCUUGAUACUGUUAGUCUUGAAAUAUAUGGAAGUAGAUAGAAUGUGUAGUGUAGCGGUGAAAUGCUUAGAGAUUUACACAU